UAAUUUGAGAGUUUGAUCCUGGCUCAGGACGAACGCUGGCGGCGUGCCUAAUACAUGCAAGUCGAACGAACUCUGGUAUUGAUUGGUGCUUGCAUCAUGAUUUACAUUUGAGUGAGUGGCGAACUGGUGAGUAACACGUGGGAAACCUGCCCAGAAGCGGGGGAUAACACCUGGAAACAGAUGCUAAUACCGCAUAACAACUUGGACCGCAUGGUCCGAGUUUGAAAGAUGGCUUCGGCUAUCACUUUUGGAUGGUCCCGCGGCGUAUUAGCUAGAUGGUGGGGUAACGGCUCACCAUGGCAAUGAUACGUAGCCGACCUGAGAGGGUAAUCGGCCACAUUGGGACUGAGACACACGGCCCAAACUCCUACGGGAGGCAGCAGUAGGGAAUCUUCCACAAUGGACGAAAGUCUGAUGGAGCAACGCCGCGUGAGUGAAGAAGGGUUUCGGCUCGUAAAACUCUGUUGUUAAAGAAGAACAUAUCUGAGAGUAACUGUUCAGGUAUUGACGGUAUUUAACCAGAAAGCCACGGCUAACUACGUGCCAGCAGCCGCGGUAAUACGUAGGUGGCAAGCGUUGUCCGGAUUUAUUGGGCGUAAAGCGAGCGCAGGCGGUUUUUUAAGUCUGAUGUGAAAGCCUUCGGCUCAACCGAAGAAGUGCAUCGGAAACUGGGAAACUUGAGUGCAGCAGAAGAGGACAGUGGAACUCCAUGUGUAGCGGUGAAAUGCGUAGAUAUAUGGAAGAACACCAGUGGCGAAGGCGGCUGUCUGGUCUGUAACUGACGCUGAGGCUCGAAAGUAUGGGUAGCAAACAGGAUUAGAUACCCUGGUAGUCCAUACCGUAAACGAUGAAUGCUAAGUGUUGGAGGGUUUCCGCCCUUCAGUGCUGCAGCUAACGCAUUAAGCAUUCCGCCUGGGGAGUACGGCCGCAAGGCUGAAACUCAAAGGAAUUGACGGGGGCCCGCACAAGCGGUGGAUGCAUGGUUUAAUUCGAAGCUACGCGAAGAACCUUACCAGGUCAGGUCUUGACAUACUAUGCAAAUCUAAGAGAUUAGACGUUCCCUUCGGGGACAUGGAUACAGGUGGUGCAUGGUUGUCGUCAGCUCGUGUCGUGAGAUGUUGGGUUAAGUCCCGCAACGAGCGCAACCCUUAUUAUCAGUUGCCAGCAUUAAGUUGGGCACUCUGGUGAGACUGCCCGGUGACAAACCGGAGGAAGGUGGGGAUGACGUCAAAUCAUCAUGCCCCUUAUGACCUGGGCUACACACGUGCUACAAUGGAUGGUACAACGAGUUGCGAACUCGCGAGAGUAAGCUAAUCUCUUAAAGCCAUUCUCAGUUCGGAUUGUAGGCUGCAACUCGCCUACAUGAAGUCGGAAUCGCUAGUAAUCGCGGAUCAGCAUGCCGCGGUGAAUACGUUCCCGGGCCUUGUACACACCGCCCGUCACACCAUGAGAGUUGUAACACCCAAAGUCGGUGGGGUAACCUUUUAGGAACCAGCCGCCUAAGGGGGACAGAUGAUUAGGGUGAAGUCGUAACAAGGUAGCCGUAGGAGAACCUGCGGCUGGAUCACCUCCUUU
RNAcentral lists this ribosomal RNA (1575 nucleotides) under Lactiplantibacillus plantarum. RNAcentral describes it as "bacterial SSU rRNA". It matches the Rfam family "Bacterial small subunit ribosomal RNA". Lineage: Bacteria; Bacillati; Bacillota; Bacilli; Lactobacillales; Lactobacillaceae. The record is from RNAcentral.